ACGUAGGGGGCAAGCGUUAUCCGGAAUUAUUGGGCGUAAAGAGUGCGUAGGUGGUUUUUUAAGCGUGAGGUGAAAGGCAAUAGCUUAACUAUUGAAAGCCUUGCGAACUGGAAGACUUGAGUGCAGGAGAGGAAAGUUGGAUUCCUAGUGUUACGGUGAAAUGCGUAGAUAUUAAGAGGAACACCUGAGGCGGAGGCAACUUACUGGACUAGAACUGACACUGAGGCACGAGAGCGUGGGGAGCAAACAG
Molecule: ribosomal RNA, 250 nt
Filed under: uncultured prokaryote
Description: partial 16S rRNA
Rfam family: Bacterial small subunit ribosomal RNA
Source: RNAcentral